GAUGAACGCUGGCGGCGUGCCUAAUACAUGCAAGUCGAGCGAACAGACGAGGAGCUUGCUCCUCUGACGUUAGCGGCGGACGGGUGAGUCACACGUGGAUAACCUACCUAUCAGACUGGGAUACCUUCGGGAAACCGGAUCUAAUACCGGAUAAUAUAUUGAACCGCAUGGUUCAAUAGUGAAAGACGGUUUUGCUGUCACUUCUCGAUGGAUCCGCGCCGCAUUAGCUAGUUGGUAAGGUAACGGCUUACCAAGGCAACGAUGCGUAGCCGACCUGAGAGGCGGAUCGGCCACACGGGAACUGAGACGCGGUCCAGACUCCUACGGGAGGCAGCAGUAGGGAAUCUUCCGCAAUGGGCGAAAGCCUGACGGAGCAACGGCGCGUGAGUGAUGAAGGUCUUCGGAUCGUAAAACUCUGUUAUGAGGGAAGAACAAAUGUGUAAGUAACUGUGCACGUCUUGACGGUACCUAAACAGAAAGCCACGGCUAACUACGUG
Molecule: ribosomal RNA, 497 nt
Filed under: uncultured bacterium
Lineage: Bacteria
Description: partial 16S ribosomal RNA
Rfam family: Bacterial small subunit ribosomal RNA
Source: RNAcentral